CUGCUCUACAGCACGUCCAGCUCGUCCCUCGGGAGCAUCUAUCUCCGACCUGACUGCUGGCUGCCAGCGCUACCUGCCUCUGUGCGCAGUGCAUCUGCCAGCCGGGGCGUCUCCACCCUCCCAGGGAGUGUCUGGCAUCCGAGGCAGAGAACUUGCUAGAGCAGCUGCAAGACAACUUUCAAGCUUUGACUGCGGAGUUAUCCCUGAGAAUGGAUGAAAUGGGCGAGCGAAUCAGUGACCUGGAAAAGCAUGUCACUGACCUAAUGGCACAAGCUGGGAUAGAAAAUACCAAUGGGAGACUUGAUGAACCGAAAAUGAGAGUCUAGCGACCAAGAAAGAUAGGUCAAAAUCUGUGCUGCACUGAGUCUGGAAAGACAAAGAUCAUCUAUCAACAGAUUUCUACAAAUGUGUUAAGUGAAAAGCAAUAUCAAACUCUGUAAAGGACUUUACAUGGUGUAUUUUCAUUUUAUGAUCAUGCACAAUGAUUGAUACCUGAAAUAUCUAUUUGUAAUAAGUAAAAUAUACAAACCUACAUAAUGAGCAACUCCAGUGAAAGAAAAGAAUAUAUGAAUAUAAGUUCUUAGGCAUGUGAAGACUCCAUUCUUUUUUAUUUUUGCUCUAGUAAAAGGGUAAAAUAUUAAGUUUGUGACUAUCUCAUAAGUGACACAUUUUACUUUUUUGGAGGAGAAAUGCUAUUUUUAAAAAAUACAGCAAUUGUAGGGGGCACAAAAUUGCUGUACCCAUACCAUAAUCUAAUGAAUUUUCUCAGCCAUGACAUUUUUUAAAUAAAGGAUUAAAUAAAAAGUUGUACA
This 812-nucleotide long non-coding RNA is filed under the name Crocodylus porosus (Australian saltwater crocodile). RNAcentral's name for it is "lncRNA (ENSCPRG00005004452.1)". Lineage: Eukaryota; Metazoa; Chordata; Crocodylia; Crocodylidae. The record is from RNAcentral.